ACAAUGUUUUCUCUAGCUCUGUUACUGCUCUUAGCAGCUGGAUGUGUGAAGUGUGAACAGCUGACACAGCCAGCCUCUUUGACUGUGCGGCCAGGUCAACGUUUGACCAUCACCUGUCAGGUCUCUUAUUCUGUGAGCAGCUAUUGGACUCACUGGAUCAGACAGCCUGCAGGAAAAGGACUGGAAUGGAUUGGAGAAGAGCGUGUUGGAUACACAACAUACUACAAAGAUUCACUUAAAACCAAGUUCAGUAUUUCCACAGACUCUUCCAGCAACACAGUUACUUUAACAGGACAGAAUGUGCAGCCUGAAGACACAGCUGUGUAUUACUGUGCCAGAGAGCCACACACUGUAACACAAAACAUCAAUAGACCUGAACAAGAACUCUGCAGUGCGUCAGUAGUUGUAAACCAGCAGAGGAGGAGCUUCUGGACCAUUGUUGUUUUUAAAUGCCACUUUUAA
Pundamilia nyererei is the source of this 462-nucleotide non-coding RNA. The record is from the annotation of a RefSeq genome assembly. NCBI's taxonomy places the organism in Eukaryota, Metazoa, Chordata, Actinopteri, Cichliformes, Cichlidae.